GAUGAACGCUGGCGGCGUGCCUAAUACAUGCAAGUCGAGCGAACGGACGAGAAGCUUGCUUCUCUGAUGUUAGCGGCGGACGGGUGAGUAACACGUGGAUAACCUACCUAUAAUACUGGGAUAACUUCGGGAAACCGGAGCUAAUACCGGAUAAUAUUUUGAACCGCAUGGUUCAAAAGUUAUAGACGGUUUUGCUGUUACUUAUAGAUGGUUCCGCGUUGGAUUAUCUACUUGGUAAGGUAACGGCUUACCAAGGCAACGAUGCGUAGCCGACCUGAGAGGGUGAUCCGCCACACUGGAACUGAGACACGGUCCAGACUCCUACGGGAGGCAGCAGUGGGGAAUAUUGCACAAUGGGCGCAAGCCUGACGGAGCAACGCCGCGUGAGUGAUGAAGGUCUUCGGAUCGUAAAACUCUGUUAUUAGGGAAGAACAUAUGUGUAAGUAACUGUGCACAUCUUGACGGUACCUAAUCAGAAAGCCACGGCUAACUACGUG
RNAcentral lists this ribosomal RNA (497 nucleotides) under uncultured bacterium. Its description in RNAcentral is "partial 16S ribosomal RNA". It matches the Rfam family "Bacterial small subunit ribosomal RNA", at positions 28 to 507 of the family's 1533-position model. The record is from RNAcentral.